AGACCCGAAACCCGGUGAUCUAGCCAUGGGCAGGUUGAAGGUUGGGUAACACUAACUGGAGGACCGAACCGACUAAUGUUGAAAAAUUAGCGGAUGACCUGUGGCUGGGGGUGAAAGGCCAAUCAAACCGGGAGAUAGCUGGUUCUCCCCGAAAGCUAUUUAGGUAGCGCCUCGUGAAUUCAUCUCCGGGGGUAGAGCACUGUUUCGGCUAGGGGGCCAUCCCGGCUUACCAACCCGAUGCAAACUGCGAAUACCGGAGAAUGUUAUCACGGGAGACACACGGCGGGUGCUAACGUCCGUCGUGAAGAGGGAAACAACCCAGACCGCCAGCUAAGGUCCCAAAGUCAUGGUUAAGUGGGAAACGAUGUGGGAAGGCCCAGACAGCCAGGAUGUUGGCUUAGAAGCAGCCAUCAUUUAAAGAAAGCGUAAUAGCUCACUGGUCGAGUCGGCCUGCGCGGAAGAUGUAACGGGGCUAAACCAUGCACCGAAGCUGCGGCAGCGACGCUUAUGCGUUGUUGGGUAGGGGAGCGUUCUGUAAGCCUGUGAAGGUGGC
Molecule: ribosomal RNA, 553 nt
Filed under: Salmonella enterica subsp. enterica serovar Coeln
Lineage: Bacteria; Pseudomonadati; Pseudomonadota; Gammaproteobacteria; Enterobacterales; Enterobacteriaceae
Description: partial 23S ribosomal RNA
Rfam family: Bacterial large subunit ribosomal RNA
Source: RNAcentral